GAUGAAGAACGUAGCGAAAUGCGAUACGUAGUGUGAAUUGCAGAAUUCAGUGAAUCAUCGAAUCUUUGAACGCACAUUGCACCUCUCGGUAUUCCGGGAGGUAUGCCUGUUCGAGCGUCAUUUGUACCCUCAAGCUCUUCUUGGUGUUGGGUGUUUGUUCCGCCUCUGUGUGUGAACUCGCCUCAAAACAAUUGGCAGCCGGCGUACUUGUUUCGGAGCGCAGCACAUUUUGCGAUCCAGAUCAACGUACAGCGGCAUCCAAGAAGCCUUAUUUAACGCUCUUGACCUCGGAUCAGGUAGGGAUACCCGCUGAACUUAAGCAUAUCAAUAAGCGGAGGA
This 339-nucleotide unclassified non-coding RNA is filed under the name soil metagenome. RNAcentral's name for it is "partial contains 5.8S ribosomal RNA, internal transcribed spacer 2, and large subunit ribosomal RNA". The stretch from base 1 to 120 matches the Rfam family "5.8S ribosomal RNA", at positions 35 to 154 of the family's 154-position model. The record is from RNAcentral.